Molecule: non-coding RNA, 7586 nt
Organism: Cricetulus griseus (Chinese hamster)
Lineage: Eukaryota; Metazoa; Chordata; Mammalia; Rodentia; Cricetidae
Source: RefSeq, a predicted model, not a curated record
CUAUAUAGAUCAACCUGGACCAACCUGGCCUUGAACUAGUUAGUAAUCUUCCUGGCUUUGCCUCCUGAGUGCUGGGACUUUUGGUGUGUGCCACCAUGCUGUCUACCUCUGUGCCUUUUUUAUAACCUAAUCUUGAAAGUAGUAUGCUGUCGCUUUUGCCACAUUUUAUUGGCCACACAGAACACCUUGGUAAAAGAGAGAAAGAAAUUGCACAAGGACGGUUGGGCAGAGUGGUUUGUGCAGAGGAGAGAAGAAUCCUUCCCAAGGGCCUGUCAUGUGAGACGUAGCCACAGCCCGAUGGAUGGAAAGGGAGAGUGCCCCAGAGGGGCUACGUUUUCAUUUAUGUGCUGGGUUCCUAACUGGAUGUUUAGAGGUAAGUAGCAUAGGGUAUGGCUUAAAGACUGAAGUUCUCUUUGCUGUGCAUACUACAUACACAAUAGUGUAUUGCUAAUACAAUUCAGUAAUUGUAUUGAUGGGGCCCAUGAGUAACCCCUCACUGGUGCAAAGCCAAAGCCUUUUACAUGCUAAGCAAGUACCUGACAAUGGAGAGUUAUAAUUUAUAGCUGUAAUAUAAUUUUUAAACAAUUUAUUUUAAAUGUGUGGGUGUUUUGCCUGCAUGUAUGUCUGUGUGCCUGGUGCUCAUGGAGGCCAGAAGAGGGCAUCAUAUUCCUAGAAAUUGGAGUUAGAUGAUUGUGACCUACCGUGUGGUUGGUUACUGAGAACCAAAUCUAGAUCUUCUGAUAGCAGCCAGUGUUAUUAACAGCUGAGCCAUUUCUCCAGCCCUAAUAUUGUUACAGAUAUUUAAAGUUCUAAAAAAAAAUGGGCUGGAGAGAUGCCUCAGUGCUUGAGUACUAACUGCUCCAAUUCCCAGCACCAACAUGGCAGCUUACAAUCUUAUGUAAUUCCAAUUAUAGGGGACCCAAAACUCUCUUCUGGCCUCCAUGGACACCAUGCACACAUGGGGUGACCAGAUAUACAUGAAGGCAAAACACACAAAAUAAAAGUUUAAAUUCCUAAAAUCCUAGAUGAUACUUCUUUUCAUGUUGUUUUAUUGUUUUGCAGCAGAAUGUCUGGCAUGGGAUAUAACUGAAAAUAUUAUUUAGCUGUGCAAGAAGAAAUGGCACUUAUAUACAAAAGAAAGACAUGAUUUUUUGGUUUUAAGUAAAUACAACAUAAUACAUCCCACAAGUGUCUGGACUCUUAGAUCUUCCUGAUGGAAGACCCACCAUGAUACCAUUACUCUCCCAAUAAUUAAAUGAGGUGCCAAUGAUGAAACAUGGUCACAAUUAGCACCCUUACAAGACUCCUUUCCAGACAUCUGACCAGAACCAAGACUGGAAUUUCUCAUCUGUACUUAACAGUGGAGCAUUCUCCCAUACCUGGUUCUGGUUCUGUUGAGAGGACCUACUUAAGUGACUUUCUCCAGCUCAUUGAAAGCAGCAGGGAAGCCUCAUCCAUGCCAUGGAAGUUGGACCACAUGCCUUUGAAGAAAGCUUUGUAAACCUCAUCUUUGGAAGUGUUUUUCUAAGCAUGCCAUGGUGUGUUGAUGGCCCCAUGGAGAUAAGAGACAGUUCCUUUUGUAGCUGGGAUGACAGUGCUGAUUCCUACUGGAAGAAGGACAGCAGUGGAGACACCUAGACCACUGUGAAAAAAGCGCAGGCUCUUUGGACAAAUGUGAGCUUCAAGACCAGGAAGCCAGAGCUACUGGCUGGAUUGCCUUCUGUUUACUCAUUUCCAGCAUUCACCUCAAAUCCACAGUGAAUUUGGCAGGUGGUCAUCAGUGUGCAGAGGCAGGUGGGGCCAGGACAUAAGUGGGCCACCCUUGCGGGUCUUUUAUGGGCUAAAGCCAGGAAGGGCUCAGCAGGAGCCAUCAGAAGCUUUGAUGCUGUGCUCCAGCUCUCAGUAAAUGGUUUUGUAACUAAAUCAGAGACAAAAGGACAGCUCUACAAAAGGCAGGGCCUAGUGACCAUUCCUCACAGCCACAACAGGCCCAGUAGCCUCCAUGAUCGUAUCUGUAGCCUGCACAAAUCUGUCUCCCAAACAUAGAUCAGGAACACCAUUCCUGGCCAUCACAUGUAUAGACACACACACCACCCUCUAGAACCUGGGACCCACCAACAAAUAAGCUUCACAUAACCAGGCGGUACACUGAGACUUGCCCUGCAUCAGAUCCUGGGUGUGCUCUGUGGCGCAACUAUGCAGUCCCAUUGGGUCAGGUCAUGUUGAGGAAGAAGCCGCCUCCUCCAUCUCUCAGGAGAGCUGGAGGUUUUCCUCCCCAAGUGAAAGGUAGUAUGGGAGGAGGGCAGAACUAUGAGAGCCAGUCUGGCCUCCUGCAGCCAAGAACACGGGUCUUGGCUGGACCCGAGAGACCACUUACUAUCUACACAGGCGGUUCUUUACUUUUUCUAAGCCUCAGUUUCUGUCAAUGUGGAGUGGGCAUAAGACAUAGUCUAUCUAAGGAUUGGAUUGUGUUCUCCAAAUACAAUAGCUGAAGCCCUAACCUCAGGAGGUGACCUUUGCUGAAAACAGGGUCUAUAAAGUGGACCCAAUGUAGCAGGACUGCUGUCCUUUUAUAAAGGAGACGUCUACAUUAGAUAGCCAAGGAAAGAUGGUCAGAGGACUGGACAGAAGUGGUCAGAUGUCCUGAAAGCUGAGGCCUGUGGCAGACCCCACAAGCUAGAAGAGGCAGGAAGGACCUGCCUGGAGCCUUCAGGAGGAGUGUGGCCACACCUUGGUUUGUGAUUUCUGUCUUCUGAGUGAUGAGCUUUCCUUGUUGUCUGCCAUGCCACCCAGAUUCUGUUACAGCAGCCCUAGGAAAGACCACACCAUGCUCCACCCCUACCCCUCCACCCCACCCCCAGUUGGCUUGGAACAUAGGGGCAGACUGUGCUGAUUCAGGCCUUUGCCACAGCCAAGUACAAACCUAGAGGAAGGUACCUCAUACACAGAAGAGCAGGACACAGUCCCGGCCCUGGUCCUUUUCCUGCCCACUAAAAGCUGUUUAGCAGCUCAGUUUCCUAACCAGCAAGAUGGGGACAAUUCUGCCUACUUUCCAGGCUGUCACAGAGAUGAAAUGACAGCAGAGCAGCUGUGCAAUGACUACUUUCCAUCUUCUUCGAAGAGACAAAAGGGAUGUCAUUUUCUACUGACAACAAGCUUUGACCUGACAUUCCUUUCUCAAAGAAAGAGAAAUGUGUCACAAGUCAAACUGUAGUGUCUUGCCGUUCUGGCCUCCCCAGGACCUACAGUCAUCAAGAUGCCAAUGGUGGAGCUGGCAACAGGGAUGAGAAGAUCUUUACAAGGGACUGUCCUUGGGGGCAGAAGACAUGAGGCCUGGCCAAUGCUGCAUCAGCCCAGGCGGAUUUCCAGAAUACUGGGUUUGGCUGGUCCUGGCUGUGGCACCACAACAGACAGCUUCCCUCCUUGUCCAGACCCAUUUGGAGCUGGCAGCAUCAAGCCCACCAUGCCUGCCCUGCUGAAGCCUUCCAUGGCUGUGCUGUAUGCUGGCUCUGCAAACAGGCCCUCUGGGUCACUGCCCUCUGGGUCCCCCAAGGCUGCCAUGCAACACCCGAGUCUAUUCAAUACCAGCCUCCCUGUAAGUCACAACAAUGGGUUUUUUGCCUCAGAGAAACUUACCUAGCCACAUUGGACAGGUCCAGGUGCUUCUGAACCUCCAGCAGAACCUCCCGGAAGAAGCGCAAGCGCUUCUCUUCAAACUGCUGGCACUGCUCAAACACCUGCUCCAUGUUCUCCAUGUACUGGGGUGUGGUCUGAUCAAGCUCCUUCAGGGCCUUCUCAUACUUGUCCUUGGUCUGUGUUGAAAUUGGCACAGGCAGAGGUUUCUUGUCCAUCCCACCUCUGUUUGCCCCAUGUGCUCCACUGCUGCUCAGGCCUCCCUAGAUUCCAAAUGUGGGAGCAGGAGUUCCAGAGCCUAGCAUUCUCCAAGUGCAGUCCCUGUGCUUCUCCAUGGCAAGUAACUCUGUUUUCCAUCUCACAGAUACGAGGCCCAAACAGGUAGAUAGUCACAUCAAUACUCAGUGCCCUGUAUCCAAAGCAUACAUCUAGGUUGGUGGCAUAGUUGUGAGCAUAGCUGCCUUCUUUUUUCAUCACAAGCCUUUGUUCAUUUUUGUCAGUGGGGAAUACUAUGCUGCGCAACACUCUAGCCUAGAUCUAGCCCCAGCAGCUAUGGCAUGUGAGGCACCUCAGAGACAAGCUCAUUGUCUUAAGUGCCAAAUGGCCCUGGGCCUCACCCAUUAUCAGACAAAGAGAGACUUAAAUGACUGACAUAAAGCUACAUAGAUUAGACAUUCCUAAUUUUCUCCAGUCAGCCUCUUUUUUUGAAGGCUAUCCAGAGGAAGGGCAUUUAGUUAAAAGGAUAGAUUAAGAGCAGUAUGGUCCAAUUAAGCAAGUCUCUGGAGGGAAUUAUUAAAUCCCUAAGAUGUGGUGAAAGUGGACAUCUGAUGUGUGUGCUCAGGCUUGGAGACCACAUUCAUCCAGACGUGUGUACCCUACCCUCCAUACCAUGCUAAUCUAUAGGAGCUUCCUGGAAGUGAGCAGCAGGGUUCUGGGAAUGCCUAUUUCCACAUGUGUGUCUAACAACUGAAGGGUGUUCAUGGAUGCAUGUGAGAAGUACAUGACACUCUUGCUAAAGCUGGUACCAUGCCAAUGCUCAGCUUACCUCACCAGCCUGUGAUUAACCUUCAGAGUGUCCAUUAGCAGGUGGCCACUUCAGUAUUCCAUCCAUAGUCACUCGGGUGAAGGUACAGAUUCACUAUUUCUUGGUCUCUCUGGAGCUGGCAAGAUUGUCCUGUUGUACACUGUGUGGUGCAUUCUGCUGCUUCUACCUAUAAGUGGAAAGAAUGCUAAGGACCACAUUGUUCAAAGUGGCCUUCAUGCAGAAGACUCCCAUUUUCAGAUUCUUUUCUGAGGACUCUAGGCUUUCUGAAAGUUGUGCACUGCUUCAUUUCCUCAAGAUCUCCCAUGGCUGUGCUAAAAAGCUGACAUUGGUAUCUCUCGUUGCGUGUGUAUAUUGUCAGAUGAGGAAGCAGCUACAAACUGUAGGUAAACUAUCACAAGUAGUCAUCAGAAAAGGACCUCACUUGGUCACGCUUGGUAUCUCAUGUUGACAUAGGGGACAGGGACAACUUCCAAUAUUUGGUGGUGACUAAAGCCUACUUUCAUGUCAUCACAUAAAAGAAUAUUACUAUCUAGUUAUUCCCACCUAUCUCAUGCUAGGCACCAUUCUUGUGUUUUCAGCCUCUAAAUAUUGCCUAUUCCCUAGCAAGUAGGAAUAACUGUCCCCAUUUCACAGAUGAGGAAACUGAAGCUUAGGGCAGUCACUGCAUCUGCUAGUGUCCUACAGCUCAGUAGCAGGGCUUCAGCUGAAAGUAGCUCUUUGUACAGUUCUGGUAGGGACAGUCUGGCUAGCAAAACCUGAUUUGUACCUGCCUUUUCAAGAGUAUAUUAAGUAUUGACUGCCUUUUCACAUAAGUCAGGAAUUUUUUUUAAGUUAGGAAUUUUUUAAAAUGAGUGCCAAGUGGAUAAUUUAGGAUGAAAAUACUCAAUGUUUCAUUGAGCUGUGGACUUUUCAAGGUACAGGCAUUAACCCUGAAGGUCCCCCAGGAAAGAAAUGGAAUCUGUUCUCAUCUUUUUCCUCCCAUGGUCUUCACAGUAUUAGCCAACAAAUUAAGAACACAGCAGUUCAGAGCUGCUAACAAGAAAGCUACACUUGGACAUUUUUUAUUUUUAUCUACAUUGAGCAAAAGAUCCCUCAACCAGUUGCUGACAUCUUUGAUGGCCCCAAGGGAUCUUAGAGGGUGUGAAGAAGACCAGCCUUGGUGAUAGGUGGUGCAAAUUUGCCUUGUGGCUGCCUGAACCUUUGCUUUAAUUUCAGCCAAUAGGCUCUUCCCUGACAGUAUACAGUGUGUAACCCCUACCCACCAUAAUGCCACCACCUCUGCUUGUCCUGUAUUCUGGAGUGUUCACCAGCUGUCACAAGCUCUGGUGGCCUUGGCUUAAUCUCCCCCUUUGGACUGCAGACUGGUUGCAGCACUAACAGUCUGUAGGCUUUGUCUUUUCUGCUGACUCAGUACUCUAUUCCAGUAGACUCUGGCUCCUGUAACUUUAGAGCUGCUCUGGUGGUUCAUGCCUGCAAUCCUAGCACUCGUAGCAUUGUCAGGUUGAGGCCAACCUGAGCUACAUAGUGAGUUCCAGACCAGCUUGGGCUACAGAGUGAUACCCUGACUCCAAAAUAUAAAGAAAAGGAAAAGAGACUUUAGGUAGAACUGCCACUCAACUGCACUGUGCCUUGUCCAUGUCUGAAAACCCUCUGGGCUCUGUUUUGGUUUCUGAUACUCUGAAUUUGGCGCAGCUUUUGUUUUGUGAGCGCCUAUUCCAGUUCUCACACCCUGUCUGCAGGUCCUGAGCCUAGUACUGUUAGCACUUCCAGGGAUGCCAUGAAAAGCAGCUCUGAGAGCCCUGAGGUUCUCGUUGCUUCUCAUGUUCACAAGUUACCUUUUCUUUGGUCUCCUGCUUAAAAAGUAGGCCUGGAAAUCACCCCAUGUGUGUCUAAUUGAGGUUCAUUUAGAUCCAAGAGAUUCAAGAAAAAGGACAACUUGCCUCAAUGCCUGACAUCAGUAUGAAUUAGAAGACCAAUUGGGUUUGCUUGGAGGAAAAGAGACUCCUUUAAUCUUUUUAUCCUAGGACCCUCAUCUGAGAGACUCCUAACUAAGCCCCUAGGCCUACAGACCCUGUGAUCCAGACAGCUGAGGGAAGACACAAAAGUUUCAGGGAGGACCUCAGACCCUUCGCAGAGGGGAGAAAGGAUAGAUAAAAGCCAAUACCUUGUGGCAACCACCUCAGGGUAAUUCAAAAUAAAUAUGACCCAAAUUUAUCUAACAAGAACCAAGGCACCUGACUGAGAGCCAGUGCAUAUUUGACCAAAAGGGUACUAGGAAAUGACUGCUUUGUAAAGGGCUGGCCAAACAGCAGCCCCCACCCAAGUGCAGCCAUGAUUAGCCCCUGGGUCAAGAAACCCCAUAGAACUUUGUGUGACGCUUGUGGCUGGUUGAUACAUUAUCACAUACCUUGUGGUCUUAGGGUUCGGGUAUAAAAUCUUAACCCCCAAAGCACUGAUAGGUGGAAGGUUUAUCAGCUGGCAUCGUAAUGACUGGAUCGUAAGGGUGGUGUCACCAAUGGAUUAAUCUGUUAUUUGAAUGGGCAGUUAGACCAUGGGGUCUGUUUGCAGGAAGUGGGACACUGGAGGAGUGCCCUGGAAGGGGUAAAUCUUGUAUCCUUAUGAGGUAAGCACUCUGCUUUGCCAAGUGUUUCUGUCAUGUUCAGUUUUGCUUCAGGUCUACAGUGAUAAGGCCAGAGAACCAUGGACCAAAGCCACGAGCCAAAAUAAGUCUACUCAUUUCAGUUUUAACAAGUAUUUUUUGGCACAACAGUAGAUAACACAAGGGUAAUUUUAUUUGUCUAUAUGUAAAGGUGUAUAUAUCUACAUGUAUACUGUAUGCAUAUUGUGUAUAUUGUACCAAAUUGAGUUAGAAAUAAACAUUUGUUUAUUAAAGAAACUUGUGAGAUAA